GCAGUUCUGUUCUUUAUUGAGUCUAUUAACAGCAAGUGUAUGAUGCGCAGUUAUAGCUGUGGAACUAAAUGGUUGUUUGAUAAUGGCCAAUGUUCAUCGUGUACAGAUCACCUUAAUGAAUGUCAAAUUAUGGGUUUUUAUGCCAGAAUGCCACCAUCUAAACUUCCAGUGCAGUAUCACCUGGCAACACGAUCUCGAAGUCCUUUUUGUGGUAAGUUUCGUUUGUCAUGCAAACGAGAGCC
Molecule: non-coding RNA, 242 nt
Organism: Paramuricea clavata
Lineage: Eukaryota; Metazoa; Cnidaria; Anthozoa; Malacalcyonacea; Plexauridae
Source: the annotation of a GenBank genome assembly